This 151-nucleotide microRNA precursor is filed under the name Prunus dulcis (almond). RNAcentral's name for it is "sRNA ncRNA". The record is from RNAcentral. Lineage: Eukaryota; Viridiplantae; Streptophyta; Magnoliopsida; Rosales; Rosaceae.
AUAAAGAAAAGAGAGGGAGAGUGGAGAUGAGAUUGAAAGGGAUGAGUAACAAAAGUGAAACACACAAAUUAAAAACUGAAAUAUAUUUGAAAUUGUUUCCCCUCUCAUAUUUUCUCUCAAUCUCAUCCUCACUCCCAUUUUCCUUUAUACU